This 271-nucleotide ribosomal RNA is filed under the name uncultured prokaryote. RNAcentral's name for it is "partial 16S ribosomal RNA". It matches the Rfam family "Bacterial small subunit ribosomal RNA", at positions 524 to 794 of the family's 1533-position model. The record is from RNAcentral.
UACGUAGGGUCCAAGCGUUAAUCGGAAUUACUGGGCGUAAAGCGUGCGCAGGCGGUUGUGCAAGACCGAUGUGAAAUCCCCGGGCUUAACCUGGGAACUGCGCUUGUGACUGGCAGGCUAGAGUACGGUAGAGGGGGGUGGAAUUCCUGGUGUAGCAGUGAAAUGCGUAGAUAUCAGGAGGAACACCGAUGGCGAAGGCAGCCCCCUGGGCCUGUACUGACGCUCAUGCACGAAAGCGUGGGGAGCAAACAGGAUUAGAUACCCCGGUAGU